UACGGAGGAUCCGAGCGUUAUCCGGAUUUAUUGGGUUUAAAGGGUGCGCAGGCGGGAGAUUAAGUCGGCGGUGAAAUUUUGCAGCUCAACUGUAAAAGUGCCUUCGAAACUGGUUUCCUUGAGUGUAGAUGAAGUAGGCGGAAUUUGUGGUGUAGCGGUGAAAUGCAUAGAUAUCACGAGGAACUCCGAUCGCGCAGGCAGCUUACUAAACUACUACUGACGCUCAGGCACGAAAGCGUGGGGAUCGAACAGGAUUAGAUACCCUGGUA
This 269-nucleotide ribosomal RNA is filed under the name uncultured prokaryote. Its description in RNAcentral is "partial 16S ribosomal RNA". It matches the Rfam family "Bacterial small subunit ribosomal RNA", at positions 524 to 792 of the family's 1533-position model. The record is from RNAcentral.